RNAcentral lists this unclassified non-coding RNA (229 nucleotides) under uncultured fungus. RNAcentral's name for it is "sequence contains ITS1, 5.8S rRNA gene". The stretch from base 181 to 229 matches the Rfam family "5.8S ribosomal RNA", at positions 1 to 49 of the family's 154-position model. Lineage: Eukaryota; Fungi. The record is from RNAcentral.
UCUCCGUAGGUGAACCUGCGGAGGGAUCAUUACUGAGUGAGGGCUUCGGUCCGACCUCCAACCCUUUGUGAACCAAACUUGUUGCUUCGGGGGCGACCCGGCCCUCCUGGGCGUCGGGGCCCCCGGUGGUCCAUCUCAACCCUGCAUCUGUGCGUCUGAGUAAAUAUUUGAAUCAAUCAAAACUUUCAACAACGGAUCUCUUGGUUCUGGCAUCGAUGAAGAACGCAGC